This is a long non-coding RNA of Patiria miniata (bat star), 236 nucleotides long. RefSeq lists it as uncharacterized. The record is from RefSeq and is a predicted model, not a curated record. The transcript has 2 exons. NCBI's taxonomy places the organism in Eukaryota, Metazoa, Echinodermata, Asteroidea, Valvatida, Asterinidae.
AAUACAAGAAAGCAUAUAAACACAAUAAAAGGCCCACAUGGUACAUGUUCAUGUCUGAUGAGGACUUGGAACAAAGGUUUUCCAAAGACACCGAUAACCAAAAUACCUGGGCCCAAUGCAUCAGAAUAAAAUAAAAGGCCCACAUGGUAUAUGUUCAUGUCUGAGGACUUGGAACAAUUACAAAGGUUUUCCUAAGAUACCGAUAACCCAAAUACCUGGGCCCAAUGCAUCAGAAA